AUCCUUGAGCAGGCGCCGGUGGUAACCGGGCAGGUAGCACUAGGUGAGAGUGAAAGCAUCUCCAAUGUGGGGCCCACAAACGGCAAGGCCAAUUUGGGCUGGCCAUAUUUGGCCACUGAGGAGAGGAGUAUAUUAACUUGGAGAGUCUAUUAGAGAGUUCGUUGGAGAAGUUCUAACACUCCAUCUAUUCCUCUUUCAUUCUAAAAAUAAAGGAUAGGAGAUAAAAUUGAGCUUCUAUCAUCUAUCUCAUCUUUUAUUUUUAGAUGUCAUUCAUAUUAGAGAAACUCUAUAUUUAAAUGUUCUCUCUCCAUCCUCCAAAGAAAUCUGCUGGAGUACGAAGUAUGAAACUGUUUUAAAUUAUCA
RNAcentral lists this long non-coding RNA (363 nucleotides) under Oryza brachyantha (malo sina). RNAcentral's name for it is "long non-coding RNA (OBRA_LNC000490)". The record is from RNAcentral. Lineage: Eukaryota; Viridiplantae; Streptophyta; Magnoliopsida; Poales; Poaceae.